Long non-coding RNA from Fukomys damarensis (Damara mole-rat), 457 nucleotides. RefSeq lists it as uncharacterized. The record is from RefSeq and is a predicted model, not a curated record. The transcript has 4 exons. Lineage: Eukaryota; Metazoa; Chordata; Mammalia; Rodentia; Bathyergidae.
CAAAAAGCAGCAAUCAUGGAGACCUGGAGCUCAGCAGUAAGGGGGCUUGACAGCAAGAGGAGUGAUUGGUGGCCAGAUAAAAAAAUCUCAGAAUCCACCUCCACUGCAUGUCAUGAGGGAAACAUUUCUUUCAUGCUGAACUGAUUCAGAGUGUGGAAGAUCCACCUGAGGACUGUUGCCAAAAUGACGAAAGGAGAACAAAAGGGUCACUGGCAAAUGAAAGAUAGGAAGAAGCAAAAAGGUGAAGGACAAGGAAAGAUUGUAAUGUGAACCGGUGUGAAUCAUAGAUGAUUAUAUCUGGUAUAUCAGGGCCAUUCUCUCACUUUCUUCCUCUCCAUCAAGCCUGGAAGAGGCAGUGGUGUCAAAGAGUUAUUACAGAGAAAAUUUUUGCUCCACACACAUACACCUCAGUAAUCUCCAUUAGUUCUUCCUUCAAGCAAUUAACAUAAAAAUAUUA